Long non-coding RNA from Rhipicephalus microplus (southern cattle tick), 974 nucleotides. Lineage: Eukaryota; Metazoa; Arthropoda; Arachnida; Ixodida; Ixodidae. The record is from RefSeq and is a predicted model, not a curated record.
CUCCUGUAUACACACGGAGGAACAUGUGCUUGUGGACUGAGCGGCGAUUACGAUCGCAUUUACGUACUGCCAUGUUUGUUGUUCAGGAGUAUGUUAUGCAACUGCCAACGUUUUCGAAAUACAUUACGCUUGCCUUAUGCGAUCCCGCGCAGCGUUGCCGUCGACAGCGUGAGCGACGUUACGGUGUCCAACGUGCUGUCAUCGCUGGUUUAAUGUGAGGACGAAGGUGUGCUGCUUGGGAAGGAAAUGAGAUGCCAAAGCAGAGCAGAGGCUGUGGCAGCCAACCAGCCAAAAGCCCCCGAACGUUCUAGGCGCUUCGCACCACUGACGCUCGUCCUCUUUUUCUUUGGCUGGCUUGCCACUAAUAGUGCUGCGCUACAGUAUGAAGUCCAGAGCUCAAUUGAGCUGUUGUUGUGUAGUAGGCCAUUUGUCUUCCAUAUUUCUACUUUAAUCAUUUUGCCAAAGGUGGCAUAAUUUAUAGUGUAUUUUACCUAAAACCAUAAUUAUUAGAAUAACGUCGACCAUAUGAGGUUUUUGGACAUGCACCUAAAUCUAAAUGCAUGGGCAUUUUUGAAUUUUUCCUCCAUUAAAAUGCAGCCAUCAUCUCCAAGAAUUGAACGAACCCAUGUCUUUGUGCUUAAAAGUGCUACACCAUACCUGAUAAGGUACCAUGGCGAGUUCUACUCGUGUUAUCCUUGUGUAUGGCUGGUAAAAGUAAGGAAAGUAGACGUACAAAAUCUCCAUUUCAUUUCAACCUGUACAAAAGUUAGCCAUGCGUGGAUAAAUGAAGAGUAUAGCCGAUUUCCAACAGUUGCACUGAAGCAUUUAUUGGAAGUGAAGCUUCUUGUUACAGCCCAGAGGGCAAUCUUACAAUGUACAUGCAUCUUUUUCUCUGUCUGGGUUCUUGUGUCAGCACGCUUUGGUAGUUUUCUUAAUGAGGUGUUGCCAUAAAAUUUGAGGCUUGCGUGUUUUUU